GCAUUUGCUUUGGAUGUACAUAUACUAAAAUUGGAAUGAUACAGAAAAGUUUAACAUGGCCCCUGAGCAAGGAUGAUAAGAAAAUUCAUGAGCUGUUCAAUAUUUUA
This is a small nuclear RNA of Choloepus hoffmanni (Hoffmann's two-fingered sloth), 107 nucleotides long. NCBI's taxonomy places the organism in Eukaryota, Metazoa, Chordata, Mammalia, Pilosa, Megalonychidae. The record is from Ensembl.